Long non-coding RNA from Carassius auratus (goldfish), 327 nucleotides. RefSeq lists it as uncharacterized. The transcript is spliced from 3 exons. The record is from RefSeq and is a predicted model, not a curated record. Lineage: Eukaryota; Metazoa; Chordata; Actinopteri; Cypriniformes; Cyprinidae.
GCAAAAUGGCAGAGUAUGAUAAAUCAUGUACAGGACAUACAUGAACACAGCACUCCUGCAUUUACCAGCUGCGCACAUCCACCGUUGGAAGGAGAGGCAAGAAACAAGGAGUGGCUGGAACCAGGAUCACCAGCAGCCACUAAACUGGAGAGUGUAGCUGCCAGGAAAGCACUGGUAAAGGAUAUUCGACAAUUGUCACCUCAGCAUCAGACAUUCUCCCUGGAGGCCUACCAUUCCCUCAUUCUGCACUUUGCUCCCAAACACACUGGCUUUUCUUUUCUUGGGAUGUACAGCAGACUUCUCUUGGCAGCCCUUCAUUUCAAUAGU